RNAcentral lists this ribosomal RNA (440 nucleotides) under uncultured bacterium. RNAcentral's name for it is "partial 16S ribosomal RNA". It matches the Rfam family "Bacterial small subunit ribosomal RNA", at positions 338 to 795 of the family's 1533-position model. The record is from RNAcentral.
CCUACGGGAGGCAGCAGUAGGGAAUAUUGCUCAAUGGGGGAAACCCUGAAGCAGCAACGCCGCGUGGAGGAUGAAGGUUUUCGGAUUGUAAACUCCUUUUGUUAGAGAAGAUAAUGACGGUAUCUAACGAAUAAGCACCGGCUAACUCCGUGCCAGAAGCCGCGGUAAUACGGAGGGUGCAAGCGUUACUCGGAAUCACUGGGCGUAAAGAGAGCGUAGGGGGUUUAGCAAGUCAGAUGUGAAAUCCUAUGGCUUAACCAUAGAACUGCAUUUGAAACUGUUAGUCUAGAGUAUGGGAGAGGUAGGUGGAAUUCUUGGUGUAGGGGUAAAAUCCGUAGAGAUCAAGAGGAAUACUCAUUGCGAAGGCGACCUGCUAGAACAUAACUGACACUGAUGCGCGAAAGCGUGGGGAGCAAACAGGAUUAGAUACCCCUGUAGUC